Molecule: long non-coding RNA, 853 nt
Organism: Mercurialis annua (annual mercury)
Lineage: Eukaryota; Viridiplantae; Streptophyta; Magnoliopsida; Malpighiales; Euphorbiaceae
Exons: 2
Source: RefSeq, a predicted model, not a curated record
UGUGGAAGUUGAGAAAGCAUUGUUCUCUUCCCCAUCAGCUUGAUUCAUUCUUCUCCUUCUCUUUUUCUCAAUUACUCAACUAAUUUAACUUAAAUCUUCCCCUAAUCAUUACCAUAGCCGAUUUAUUAAAGAAAUUUGAAGUAAAUAGAUUGUUUGCAAUCUUAUUUCCUCAUUUUAGGGUUUCGAAUUUUGAAGCUCAAGACCCGUCGACUGUUCGUACUUCAGAGGCGAACCAGAGUUAGACUGCUUGUCAGGUUUCACGUGGAAUAGCAAGCAGUGAGUUUAUAUCUCUAUUUAUCUCUUUAUUAAGCAAAUAUUAUAUUUUGUAUAUGUAUAUGUAUAAACAGCUUUUGAACUGUUUUUCGGCAUUGUGGAUUUGAUUUGGAACGUGCUACUCGAUGGGCAUCUUCGGGACUGCGUGCGCACCGGUAAUGAUUAUUAUGGUAUUGAGGUAGGUUUGAGAUACGUCUCACCUUAGUGAGGGCACCGGUGGAAGAUACGUCUCCUGGGCUCACUGUUUAUUAAGUGAUAGUCGGGGAUCGGUUAUUGAGAUACGUCUCACCGACACGACAAUGGAUUUAGAAUUGUGGUUUAGGGUUUCAUUGAUAAUCCAUAAUGAAAAUGUUUUAUUAAACGUUUUAAAGUUUUUUUUUAACUUAAUAAAUGUAAAUGGUUAUAUAAACUCUACUCAGUAAAUCUGAUCCCGUUGUUUUUUCCAAAUUUUCCAGGUUUGUGAUUGAGCAUUUGGUCGAUCUCCGAUUCUUCAUUCUCGGAGGUUCUUUAUUUAUUUCAGAAAUAAAAGAGUCGAACUGUUUUAAACUCUUAGACCGCAGUAGUAGUAUUAGUUUAUUUA